RNAcentral lists this ribosomal RNA (497 nucleotides) under uncultured bacterium. Its description in RNAcentral is "partial 16S ribosomal RNA". It matches the Rfam family "Bacterial small subunit ribosomal RNA", at positions 28 to 507 of the family's 1533-position model. The record is from RNAcentral.
GAUGAACGCUGGCGGCGUGCCUAAUACAUGCAAGUCGAGCGAACGGACGAGAAGCUUGCUUCUCUGAUGUUAGCGGCGGACGGGUGAGUAACACGUGGAUAACCUACCUAUAAGACUGGGAUAACUUCGGGAAACCGGAGCUAAUACCGGAUAAUAUUUUGAACCGCAUGGUUCAAAAGUGAAAGACGGUCUUGCUGUCACUUAUAGAUGGAUCCGCGCUGCAUUAGCCAGUUGGUAAGGUAACGGCUUACCAAGGCAACGAUGCAUAGCCGACCUGAGAGGGUGAUCGGCCACACUGGAACUGAGACACGGUCCAGACUCCGACGGGAGGCAGCAGUAGGGAAUCUUCCGCAAUGGGCGAAAGCCUGACGGAGCAACGCCGCGUGAGUGAUGAGGGUCUUCGGAUCGUAAAACUCUGUUAUUAGGGAAGAACAUAUGUGUAAGUAACUGUGCACAUCUUGACGGUACCUAAUCAGAAAGCCACGGCUAACUACGUG